AUGGACAGUUCUAGGGACAGUUCUACAGACAGUUCUACGGACAGUUAUAGGGACAGUUCUACGGACAGUGCUAGGGACAGUGCUAGGGACAGUGCUAGUGACAGUUAUAGGGACAGUGCUAGUGACAGUGCUAGGGACAGUUAUAGGGACAGUGCUAGUGACAGUGCUAGGGACAGUGCUAGGGACAGUUAUAGGGAUAGUUAUAGGGACAGUGCUAGGGACAGUGCUAGGGACAGUGCUAGGGACAGUUAUAGGGAUAGUUAUAGGGACAGUGCUAGGGACAGUGCUGGGGACAGUGCUAGGGACAGUUCUAGGGACAGUGCUAGGGACAGUGCUAGGGACAGUUAUAGGGAUAGUUAUAGGGACAGUGCUAGGGACAGUGCUAGGGACAGUUCUAGGGACAGUGCUAGGGACAGUGCUAGGGACAGUGCUAGGGACAGUGCUAGGGACAGUGCUAGGGACAGUGCUAGGGACAGUUAUAGGGUUAGUUAUAGGGACAGUGCUAGGGACAGUGCUAGGGACAGUUAUAGGGAUAGUUAUAGGGACAGUGCUAGGGACAGUGCUAGGGACAGUUAUAGGGAUAGUUAUAGGGACAGUGCUAGGGACAGUGCUAGGGACAGUUAUAGGGAUAGUUAUAGGGACAGUGCUAGGGACAGUGCUAGGGACAGUUAUAGGGACAGUGCUAGGGACAGUGCUAGGGACAGUGCUAGGGACAGUGCUAGGGACAGUUCUAGGGACAGUGCUAGGGACAGUUCUAGUGACAGUGCUAGUGACAGUUAUAGGGACAGUGCUAGGGACAGUUCUAGGGACAGUGCUAGGAACAGUGCUAGGAACAGUUCUACAGACAGUUCUAGGAACAGUUCUACAGACAGUGCUAGUGACAGUUAUAGGGACAGUGCUAGUGACAGUUCUACAGACAGUGCUAGGAACAGUUCUACAGACAGUGCUAGGACAGUUAUAGGGACAGUGCUAGGAACAGUGCUAGGAACAGUUCUACAGACAGUGCUAGGAACAGUUCUACAGACAGUGCUAGGAACAGUUCUACAGACAGUGUUAGGAACAGUUCUACAGACAGUUCUACAGACAGUGCUAGGAACAGUUCUACAGACAGUGCUAGUGCUGACUUAGUUCUCAGGCAAAACACUCUCUCUAGUCAGUUGAGAAGGAGAUGUGUGUAAAGGGGCUCAAUCACCCAACCUUGUUAAUGCUAGAUAACAAAAUUGCCUGGCAAAACUGUGCUACAUUAUAAACAUAGUAAAAAUGUAUUUCCCUUUCUUGUUGUUUGCUGAUGUCUAAUAUAUCUAAUGCAAACCGUGCAGUGUACAAAUAUAUGCGUUAAGGAAUUAACCAUUCCAUUCCAUUCUAUAUGCUUUAGUCUUAAACUCUGUAAUGAUAUACAUAGCAGAAGACUGGGCUAGAUUUAUUUUGUUUCCCACCUUUUAUUUUCAUAAUACUAUACUGAAUAAUACAUAGAAUAGGGCAAACUGGUCCAGUUAUGAUGAAUACCCUCCCUUUGUGUUGUAUGUUAAUGUUUAAUCAAGUCAAAUAAAACAUGUUAAUCACCCAUUGAGUGUUUUUGAUUGUUGUUUUACAGACAUUACCCUUUUUCCUGAAAGUUCAAAUGUUUAUUUAUUAUGUUCAAAUGUUUAUUAACAUAUGUGGUGGCUAAUUUCUGCAUUACCAAAUGAGGAGAGUUACAAACUUCACACACCAGUCAGAGCUAUACGUAAACUACAUCUUUAAUAAUGAACUUGUUAUGGAUAGGGGGCAGUAUUUUCACGGCCGGAUAAAAAACGUACCCGAUUUAAUCUGAUUAUUACUCCUGCCCAGAAACUAGAAUAUGCAUAUAAUUAUUAGCUUUGGAUAGAAAACACUCCAAAGUUUCUAAAACUGUUUGAAUGGUGUCUGUGAGUAUAACAGAACUCAUUUGGCAGGCCAAAACCUGAGAAGAUUCCAAACAGGAAGCGCUCUCUCUGACCAUUUCUUGGCCUUCUUGAUCAUCUCUAUCCAAAACAG
Molecule: long non-coding RNA, 2016 nt
Organism: Salmo trutta (river trout)
Lineage: Eukaryota; Metazoa; Chordata; Actinopteri; Salmoniformes; Salmonidae
Source: Ensembl